Molecule: ribosomal RNA, 808 nt
Filed under: uncultured archaeon
Lineage: Archaea
Description: bacterial SSU rRNA
Rfam family: Archaeal small subunit ribosomal RNA
Source: RNAcentral
AUUACGGCUCAGUAACACGUGGAGAACGUGCCCUUAAGUGGGGGAUAAUCUCGGGAAAUUGAGGAUAAUACCCCAUAGGUCAUGGGAUCUGGAAUGACCCAUGGCUGAAAGUUCCGGCGCUUAAGGAUCGCUCUGCGGCCUAUCAGGUAGUAGUGGGUGUAACGUACCCCCUAGCCUACGACGGGUAUGGGCCUUGAGAGAGGGAGCCCAGAGUUGGAUUCUGAGACACGAAUCCAGGCCCUACGGGGCGCAGCAGUCGCGAAAACUUCACACUGGGGGGAACCCCGAUGAGGGAAUUCCUAGUGCUUGGGCAUUUGUCCAAGCUUUUCCCGAGCGUAGAUAACUCGGGGAAUAAGGGCUGGGUAAGACGGGUGCCAGCCGCCGCGGUAAUACCUGCAGCCCGAGUGGUGGUCGAUUUUAUUGAGUCUAAAGCGUUCGUAGCCGGUCCGUUAAAUCCUUGGGUAAAUCGGGAAGCUCAACUUUCCGACUUCCGAGGAGACUGGCGGACUUGGGACCGGGAGAGGCCAGAGGUACUUCUGGGGUAGGGGUAAAAUCCUGUAAUCCUAGAAGGACCACCGGUGGCGAAGGCGUCUGGCUAGAACGGAUCCGACGGUGAGGGACGAAGCCCUGGGUCGCAAACGGGAUUAGAUACCCCGGUAGUCCAGGGUGUAAACGCUGCCGACUUGGUGUUGGGGGCCCUUCGCGGGAACUCAGUGCCGGAGAGAAGUUGUUAAGUCGGCCACUUGGGGAGUACGUCCGCAAGGAUGAAACUUAAAGGAAUUGGCGGGGGAGCACAAUCUCCAUGCCC